CAUGACUUGCUUCGGUGGUGAGCAUACUAAAUUGGAACAAUACAGAGAAGAUCAGCAUGGCUUUUUGUUAAGAAAACAAGAAAGUUCAUGGCAAGUUCCAGAUAUAA
RNAcentral lists this small nuclear RNA (107 nucleotides) under Cricetulus griseus (Chinese hamster). The record is from RNAcentral. Lineage: Eukaryota; Metazoa; Chordata; Mammalia; Rodentia; Cricetidae.